GACGAACGCUGGCGGCGUGCUUAACACAUGCAAGUCGUACGGUAAGGUCCUUUCGGGGGUACACGAGUGGCGAACGGGUGAGUAACACGUGAGUAACCUGCCCACAACUUUGGGAUAACGCUAGGAAACUGGUGCUAAUACUGGAUAUGUGCUCCUGCUGCAUGGUGGGGGUUGGAAAGCUCCGGCGGUUGUGGAUGGACUCGCGGCCUAUCAGCUUGUUGGUGGGGUAGUGGCCUACCAAGGCGGCGACGGGUAGCCGGCCUGAGAGGGUGACCGGCCACAUUGGGACUGAGAUACGGCCCAGACUCCUACGGGAGGCAGCAGUGGGGAAUAUUGCACAAUGGGCGCAAGCCUGAUGCAGCAACGCCGCGUGCGGGAUGACGGCCUUCGGGUUGUAAACCGCUUUCAGCAGGGACGAAGCUUUUUGUGACGGUACCUGCAGAAGAAGCACCGGCUAACUACGUG
RNAcentral lists this ribosomal RNA (465 nucleotides) under uncultured bacterium. RNAcentral's name for it is "partial 16S ribosomal RNA". It matches the Rfam family "Bacterial small subunit ribosomal RNA", at positions 28 to 507 of the family's 1533-position model. The record is from RNAcentral.